This 178-nucleotide non-coding RNA is filed under the name Pseudomonas simiae. Its description in RNAcentral is "6S RNA". It matches the Rfam family "6S / SsrS RNA". Rfam says of the family: E. coli 6S RNA was the first non coding RNA to be sequenced, but its function was unknown until recently. It consists of 184 nucleotides that fold into an extended hairpin structure with a large single-stranded internal bulge. The 6S RNA specifically associates with RNA polymerase holoenzyme containing the sigma70 specificity factor. Lineage: Bacteria; Pseudomonadati; Pseudomonadota; Gammaproteobacteria; Pseudomonadales; Pseudomonadaceae. The record is from RNAcentral.
CACUCCCUGGCGUGUUUGCCAGUCGGCGAUGUCCCUGAGCCGAUUCGCACUACCCUGAAGUUGCACGUUGGGCUGGUGUGCAUGUCCGCUAGACGGAAAGCCUUAAAGCCUACUGCAUCUUCCACCUUGAACUUUCGGGUUCAAGGGCUAAGUCGACAGCGGCUCUGUCGGGGAGCCU